GCAUUUCCGCCUCUGGCGAAUGGCUCGUCUGUAGUGCACGCCGCGGGCCCAGCUGCGACCCCGGCCCCGCCCCCGGGACCCCGGCCAUGGACGAACUGUUCCCCCUCAUCUUCCCGGCAGAGCCAGCCCAGGCCUCUGGCCCCUAUGUGGAGAUCAUUGAGCAGCCCAAGCAGCGGGGCAUGCGCUUCCGCUACAAGUGCGAGGGGCGCUCCGCGGGCAGCAUCCCAGGCGAGAGGAGCACAGAUACCACCAAGACCCACCCCACCAUCAAGAUCAAUGGCUACACAGGACCAGGGACAGUGCGCAUCUCCCUGGUCACCAAGGACCCUCCUCACCGGCCUCACCCCCACGAGCUUGUAGGAAAGGACUGCCGGGAUGGCUUCUAUGAGGCUGAGCUCUGCCCGGACCGCUGCAUCCACAGUUUCCAGAACCUGGGAAUCCAGUGUGUGAAGAAGCGGGACCUGGAGCAGGCUAUCAGUCAGCGCAUCCAGACCAACAACAACCCCUUCCAAGGUGAGGGCAAACCUGCCUGCCACACCCGCACCCUCUGUCACCCUCCCCAGCCCGCCUUUCCUGCAUCUCCCU
Molecule: small RNA, 585 nt
Filed under: Pan troglodytes (chimpanzee)
Lineage: Eukaryota; Metazoa; Chordata; Mammalia; Primates; Hominidae
Description: retained intron
Source: RNAcentral